This is a long non-coding RNA of Salvia hispanica, 545 nucleotides long. RefSeq lists it as uncharacterized. The record is from RefSeq and is a predicted model, not a curated record. Lineage: Eukaryota; Viridiplantae; Streptophyta; Magnoliopsida; Lamiales; Lamiaceae.
AAAACACAACUGCACAGGAUUAUGAGAAUUAGGAAAAAGAAUACUAAAAGAAACUAGAGAUAAAGUUGAGGAGGCAGAUUUGCUAUUGCCCUCUCAUACACAUCCUCAAUCCUCUGCCUAUUCCCACAGUUCUCUUCAAGACGAAUAGUUGGCUGAGAGCAGCGGCGGAUCCAGGUGGGAUCCCCUGGGGUCGGCCGACCCCACCGGCAGUCCACCGAACACUGUCAGAAAACAUCAACUUCGACCUUUGACACAGCAGCAGCUCCGCCUCCGACCCCACGUCAGGCUUCAACUCCAUAAGCCUCCUACGUUUUCCAAAUAAUGAGAGGAAGAACGAACAAUAAAUACUAGUAAUAAAAAUAGAUGAGAGACAUUGAGGAGGGGUUGCAGAAAUUUCAGGGAAUCUGCGUUCAAAGAUGAAAACGACGAUGCCUAAUUCCCUUAUCAGUUAGGUUAAAAUAUUGAAAAUUAUGGGCCUAUUUUACUCUUAUUUUGUUGGGCCAGCUGGUAGCAAUUAAAUACUAAGCCUAAUUGGAGUAUAAUUU